CGUCGGCGCCCAUGGGUACUCUCCCUUUUCGAAACGUUUUGAAAGACAAUGCAACCAUCCCAAUGGAAUAUUAUUGAAGCCCUGGUUGAAAAAGCCCCUAAAGAUUUAUGUUAUACAACGUUUGACAUGUUUGAACGAACUUAAAUAUAUAUUUUCUGCUCAUUCCUGACGACAAGUGAGACGCAGACGGUACAUUUUCACUAGCCUUCGGAGCGCGCUAACGCUAUUGGGACAUAAAUUAUUAACUUUUUUGAACAAAACUACAUUUGUUAUGGACCUGGGAUUCCUAGAAGUGCCUUCUGAUAAAGAUAAUCAAAGAUGACGCAAUCUCAAUCGCACUCCACACUGCCCUUUCCUACCUGGACAAAAGGAACACCUAUGUGAGAAUGCUGUUCAUUGACUACUGUUCAGAGUUAGUGCCCAGGAAGCUCAUCACUAAGCUAAGGACACUGGGACUGAACACCUUCCUCUGCAACUGGAUCCUGGUCUUCCUGACGGGCCUCCCCCAGGUGGUAAGGCUCCAAGGCAUAGCGAUUGGUCUCUGCUAUGUCUCCCACCAGCUCCUCUGUCAGAAACAACUUGAAGCACUCUGCCUCAGAUGGAAAUGGCAUGGGCCGUUGCACUCCAGACUGGGAAUCAUCAACGCAAACAGCAGGGCCAGGAGGGGUGACAUGGCUGGCAGCCUUCCAGCUACCACAGAACUCCUGUACUUCAUCCACUAUCGGUCUGACUCCAUCACCACCAGCAUCUUCAAAUGGAACCAGGAC
RNAcentral lists this long non-coding RNA (767 nucleotides) under Salmo salar (Atlantic salmon). RNAcentral's name for it is "lncRNA (ENSSSAG00000088548.1)". Lineage: Eukaryota; Metazoa; Chordata; Actinopteri; Salmoniformes; Salmonidae. The record is from RNAcentral.